RNAcentral lists this ribosomal RNA (465 nucleotides) under Vreelandella stevensii. RNAcentral's name for it is "partial 16S ribosomal RNA". It matches the Rfam family "Bacterial small subunit ribosomal RNA", at positions 338 to 795 of the family's 1533-position model. Lineage: Bacteria; Pseudomonadati; Pseudomonadota; Gammaproteobacteria; Oceanospirillales; Halomonadaceae. The record is from RNAcentral.
CCUACGGGAGGCUGCAGUGGGGAAUAUUGGACAAUGGGGGGAACCCUGAUCCAGCCAUGCCGCGUGUGUGAAGAAGGCCCUCGGGUUGUAAAGCACUUUCAGUGAGGAAGAACGCCUGGUGGUUAAUACCCACCAGGAAAGACAUCACUCACAGAAGAAGCACCGGCUAACUCCGUGCCAGCAGCCGCGGUAAUACGGAGGGUGCGAGCGUUAAUCGGAAUUACUGGGCGUAAAGCGCGCGUAGGUGGCUUGAUAAGCCGGUUGUGAAAGCCCCGGGCUCAACCUGGGAACGGCAUCCGGAACUGUCAAGCUAGAGUGCAGGAGAGGAAGGUAGAAUUCCCGGUGUAGCGGUGAAAUGCGUAGAGAUCGGGAGGAAUACCAGUGGCGAAGGCGGCCUUCUGGACUGACACUGACACUGAGGUGCGAAAGCGUGGGUAGCAAACAGGAUUAGAUACCCUAGUAGUC